This 2233-nucleotide ribosomal RNA is filed under the name Bacillus mycoides. RNAcentral's name for it is "bacterial LSU rRNA". It matches the Rfam family "Bacterial large subunit ribosomal RNA", at positions 1 to 2236 of the family's 2925-position model. The record is from RNAcentral. RNAcentral also lists the same sequence under 3 other names. Lineage: Bacteria; Bacillati; Bacillota; Bacilli; Caryophanales; Bacillaceae.
GGUUAAGUUAGAAAGGGCGCACGGUGGAUGCCUUGACACUAGGAGUCGAUGAAGGACGGGACUAACGCCGAUAUGCUUCGGGGAGCUGUAAGUAAGCUUUGAUCCGAAGAUUUCCGAAUGGGGAAACCCACUAUACGUAAUGGUAUGGUAUCCUUACCUGAAUACAUAGGGUAUGGAAGACAGACCCAGGGAACUGAAACAUCUAAGUACCUGGAGGAAGAGAAAGCAAAUGCGAUUUCCUGAGUAGCGGCGAGCGAAACGGAAUCUAGCCCAAACCAAGAGGCUUGCCUCUUGGGGUUGUAGGACAUUCUAUACGGAGUUACAAAGGAACGAGGUAGACGAAGCGACCUGGAAAGGUCCGUCACAGAGGGUAAUAACCCCGUAGUCGAAACUUCGUUCUCUCUUGAAUGUAUCCUGAGUACGGCGGAACACGUGAAAUUCCGUCGGAAUCUGGGAGGACCAUCUCCCAAGGCUAAAUACUCCCUAGUGAUCGAUAGUGAACCAGUACCGUGAGGGAAAGGUGAAAAGCACCCCGGAAGGGGAGUGAAAGAGAUCCUGAAACCGUGUGCCUACAAAUAGUCAGAGCCCGUUAAUGGGUGAUGGCGUGCCUUUUGUAGAAUGAACCGGCGAGUUACGAUCCCGUGCGAGGUUAAGCUGAAGAGGCGGAGCCGCAGCGAAAGCGAGUCUGAAUAGGGCGUUUAGUACGUGGUCGUAGACCCGAAACCAGGUGAUCUACCCAUGUCCAGGGUGAAGUUCAGGUAACACUGAAUGGAGGCCCGAACCCACGCACGUUGAAAAGUGCGGGGAUGAGGUGUGGGUAGCGGAGAAAUUCCAAUCGAACCUGGAGAUAGCUGGUUCUCCCCGAAAUAGCUUUAGGGCUAGCCUUAAGUGUAAGAGUCUUGGAGGUAGAGCACUGAUUGAACUAGGGGUCCUCAUCGGAUUACCGAAUUCAGUCAAACUCCGAAUGCCAAUGACUUAUCCUUAGGAGUCAGACUGCGAGUGAUAAGAUCCGUAGUCAAGAGGGAAACAGCCCAGAUCGCCAGCUAAGGUCCCAAAGUGUGUAUUAAGUGGAAAAGGAUGUGGAGUUGCUUAGACAACUAGGAUGUUGGCUCAGAAGCAGCCACCAUUUAAAGAGUGCGUAAUAGCUCACUAGUCGAGUGACUCUGCGCCGAAAAUGUACCGGGGCUAAAUACACCACCGAAGCUGCGAAUUGAUACCAAUGGUAUCAGUGGUAGGGGAGCGUUCUAAGUGCAGUGAAGUCAGACCGGAAGGACUGGUGGAGCGCUUAGAAGUGAGAAUGCCGGUAUGAGUAGCGAAAGACGGGUGAGAAUCCCGUCCACCGAAUGCCUAAGGUUUCCUGAGGAAGGCUCGUCCGCUCAGGGUUAGUCAGGACCUAAGCCGAGGCCGACAGGCGUAGGCGAUGGACAACAGGUUGAUAUUCCUGUACCACCUCUUUAUCGUUUGAGCAAUGGAGGGACGCAGAAGGAUAGAAGAAGCGUGCGAUUGGUUGUGCACGUCCAAGCAGUUAGGCUGAUAAGUAGGCAAAUCCGCUUAUCGUGAAGGCUGAGCUGUGAUGGGGAAGCUCCUUAUGGAGCGAAGUCUUUGAUUCCCCGCUGCCAAGAAAAGCUUCUAGCGAGAUAAAAGGUGCCUGUACCGCAAACCGACACAGGUAGGCGAGGAGAGAAUCCUAAGGUGUGCGAGAGAACUCUGGUUAAGGAACUCGGCAAAAUGACCCCGUAACUUCGGGAGAAGGGGUGCUUUCUUAACGGAAAGCCGCAGUGAAUAGGCCCAAGCGACUGUUUAGCAAAAACACAGGUCUCUGCGAAGCCGUAAGGCGAAGUAUAGGGGCUGACACCUGCCCGGUGCUGGAAGGUUAAGGAGAGGGGUUAGCGUAAGCGAAGCUCUGAACUGAAGCCCCAGUAAACGGCGGCCGUAACUAUAACGGUCCUAAGGUAGCGAAAUUCCUUGUCGGGUAAGUUCCGACCCGCACGAAAGGUGUAACGAUUUGGGCACUGUCUCAACCAGAGACUCGGUGAAAUUAUAGUACCUGUGAAGAUGCAGGUUACCCGCGACAGGACGGAAAGACCCCGUGGAGCUUUACUGUAGCCUGAUAUUGAAUUUUGGUACAGUUUGUACAGGAUAGGCGGGAGCCAUUGAAACCGGAGCGCUAGCUUCGGUGGAGGCGCUGGUGGGAUACCGCCCUGACUGUAUUGAAAUUCUAACCUACGGGUCU